AAAUUUCAUAUAAUAAAUAAGCUGAACUGAGCUACUCAUGAAAGAUCCGAACUCACUGCGAGCUAAGCUAAGUUGAGCGAGUUAACUCAUUUUGAUACUCCUAAUAUUUAUUUUGUCUAUCAAUAGAGAAGGAACACAAUAUUACUAUAUAGAAAUUCAUUAAAUGGUCAAUAACUGAGCGAGUUUAGAAAAAGGCAAAACCAACCUUUUGAAUGGGGCACAAAAAUUCAGGUCUCAUGAAUUAGAAAAAAAAAUGAAGAAGAUUUGACUGUGGCUGCUGCCCCCUACUUUCCUC
Molecule: long non-coding RNA, 295 nt
Filed under: Brassica rapa (field mustard)
Lineage: Eukaryota; Viridiplantae; Streptophyta; Magnoliopsida; Brassicales; Brassicaceae
Description: long non-coding RNA (BRAP_LNC004523)
Source: RNAcentral